RNAcentral lists this ribosomal RNA (253 nucleotides) under uncultured bacterium. Its description in RNAcentral is "partial 16S ribosomal RNA". It matches the Rfam family "Bacterial small subunit ribosomal RNA", at positions 524 to 776 of the family's 1533-position model. The record is from RNAcentral.
UACGAAGGGGGCUAGCGUUGUUCGGAAUUACUGGGCGUAAAGCGCGCGCAGGCGGUUCUUCAAGUCCGUGGUGAAAGCCCGGAGCUCAACUCCGGAACUGCCAUUGAAACUGUGGAACUUGAGGAUGAGAGAGGUGAGUGGAAUUCCCAGUGUAGAGGUGAAAUUCGUAGAUAUUGGGAAGAACACCGGUGGCGAAAGCGGCUCACUGGACCAUUACUGACGCUGAGGCACGAAAGCUAGGGGAGCAAACAGG